Molecule: long non-coding RNA, 3146 nt
Organism: Schistocerca cancellata (South American locust)
Lineage: Eukaryota; Metazoa; Arthropoda; Insecta; Orthoptera; Acrididae
Exons: 2
Source: RefSeq, a predicted model, not a curated record
UUUUCUUUCUUUCACCCGUGCUCGUUAACGACUCGAUGCCUCUGCCUUUCGGCGAGUGAUCUCCUUUACUUCAGAAGUAUUUCUAUUCUAACAGGAACUUUCCUAGAAUGUUAUAUUUGUGUAUUCUCUAAGGUCAAAAUACUGUACACCUCGUAAAUUACAGUUAUAAACCAGCUACAGUUUAAAGAAACCUUCACCACAAUUGGUUUACUUCAAGCAAAGCACAAAGAUGCAGAAGAAAUAUAAGAUAAAGAGCACACCACCACAUCAUUAGUCUCAAGUUUGUAUUAAAACAUAAAAAAGUUAUUUAACUAAAAUUAUUUUAUUUUUAUUCCUUUCAGUACACAAGAAGAAUCACUGUACAAAGUAAAUUUAGCUGCCAAUUCACAACAACUUUCAAAAAAUAAUUUCUUACACCAUUUAAAAGAUGGUUACAGUCCUGUAUUGCAAAGUUCUUGCCUGAAAAGAGAGAGGAUACAACUUUGCAAGGGUGACACCAAUGCUAAGGGUAACAAGUUCACAGAAACUACAACAUCAUUCAGACAGAUUUGUAUUUUUGUGGUAGGUAAGACUACUGACAAUUUUUUGGAGGCAGCCUGCGCCUUUACAAACAUAGCUUUUACGAAUGCCAGUCUAGAAUUGCCCCGUGCAGAAAAAGAAAAUUACCCAGUUUUACAAAGUUUCUUCAACUGCUCUUUUUUUAUUUUUCACACAGCGACAAACUUGCGGGGGUACCCUUGUUGCCAGAAAAUGAAACAGAAGAAGAAAACCCCAAUUACUGUCUUUCAAGAGACACACUCGACAUUUAACCCUGCCUUAUUGUCGUACAAAUAUUUACGGGCUCUGCAAUUUCUUUUAGAACCGGUUCCCGAAAUACCGGGUCUAUUUCCAACAUGUAAUAGUAUAUAAUAACUUUGUACAAAAAUAAUUCAGGUACAAAUUACACUCAAAUAUUCCCGAAUACAUAUACACAAAAUUACAAUAGUAGGAAUUACAAACAUUUUCCGAGCAACUCGUUGUCAGUAUUUCUGUUCUACGGGCACUCGUGCACAACUAAAAACUACAUAAAAAUGGUAACAAUUCAAAAAAGAAAAAUAAGCAAUUAUCAGUUCACAAGAUGCAUAACAGUCAUUCUCUUUGGUUUUUUUAACUGCAGUUUUGUAAGAACACAGAUACAUGGCACAAUGCUACACAGUACAAAGAACUACAAUACAGUUCUGUCAUCUACACUACGAUACGCUACACUACUCGGCAGAGAUUAAGUUGCUGCCUCUACGAGAGCACUGUCUAAUAGUCGUAGCAUUUACUCUCUCUUCCCUCGCUGUGGUGUGGCAAAAGUCUGGUACUGUCCACACUUUUUCCACUGUUACAAUGCAAACGCAAUCUUUAUUCCCCCACACACACAGUGUGAAUGGAACAGACGCUGAUGGCAGUCAAUAACUCCCAAAAUAAGUAUUAAGUAAUGUAUAUUGCAACUUCAACUAAAUUAUUAAAAAAUGAUAAUUGUGUGAGGUGGGUGCAGCUUCCCUAAAUUGCAGUAUUCUCUCUCCUUUGUGUGGACGUCUAAUAAAUUGUAAAAUGUGACACGACUGUUGUUUCAGAGACUGCUGUAAGUACAGAAAUCAUUCUUAUUUCUUUAAUUUAUCCAGAUCACAGCUUUUAGUCUUCAGUUUUGACAGUAGACUGGAGUCACCUUCAGAAUGAGUACUGCAGAAUACAGAGCCCCAUAGAUACCAGUACAAGUGAGUCACAAAUCUCUAUGCUGCAACAUUUGAUCUGAUGGUGACUGUACCUUACAGCCAAAGAUGAAUCCUUAGGUGAUACAAAACUGCAGUGACCAUGGAGUAAGGGGGAGGAGGGGGGAGGAGGAGGGGGAGACAACAGUUCACAUAAAAGGAGUGAGAACCAACUGCUGUAGACUCAAAUGGGGAGGAUGCCAAACUGAUGAAAAGAACAGUUAUCCUCUUUGAACACAUUGAUAGAAUAUGUGAGGAGAUAUUAACACAUUACGAGUACACAAGACAUCUAGUGUAUGGUAGAAAUAUUAGAGCACAAGGAAUAAGAAUUUAUAAUGGAGGAACUUUGAAACUCCCAAAGGGCUCCAAGACACAAACACCGUGAGGAAAGAUUCCAACGAAGAAAGAGUAUAAAGACAGGAACAAUCCAAUUUAUAGUAACGGGCUUCACAGAUGAUCAAAAAUAAAAAGAAUAGAGAAACAGCUAUCUUUGUUUUAUGAAAUACUCUGCUUAUUACUUUUCACUUUGCCAGAUCAUUUGCUUGGUGCAGGACCUGCUUGGAAUGUGCUACAAUUGCAAUGAUGACUGUUUAUUAGAAUAUAUCAAUAGACAAGAGGAGUUGAGUUUCAGGCAGGUGCAAUAAAAAUAAUAACAGAAAUAAUCAGCUUUCAAACUAAGCUCUUCACUGUACAUAGAAAAAACCCACGCAGUCACAGUGCCUGGCCACGUGUGUGGGAGAGUUGUGUUCAUGUGAACAAGUGUAAGUUUUGUAUGUCUGACAAGGGGCUUUGUCCAAAAGCUGAGUGUUUCCAGCAUUCUUUUUCACUGUUCCUGUCUGUGGCCAAGUUGCUCCUCUAUGUGGUCAGUAGCAGUCUAUCCUAUCUGUGUUCUUAUUCUUCUGUCCUGGAUUUCUCACUGUUGAAAAAGUGAAAAUAUUCAAAUAAUGACAAAUAAGCAUUACACACCAUGUGUAAGUGGCUGACACAUUCAUUUAUCAGCAAUGUAGUAUUUUACUAAAGAUAGUGUUAUUACUGUUCUGUUUCUAUUACAUUUCUAGCAAAAUCAGAUGACUAAACUCUUACUACUUCUCCAUCUCGAAAGCCUUUUCAGAAUUAACAAUGGCCCCAAACACACACAAUAUCUGCCAUUUCCAUUGGCUCCGAAUCCUUUUCUUUAGCUUAUGUCUCAGCUCUGCGUAACACUCUUGUGAGCCUAUUAAAAUUCCGACAGGUUUGACACGAUUCUCAGUCACGUACCAAUAUUUCAAAAUUUACUCUUCAUUAGAACAGUUGGUUCAAACACAUAUUUGCAACAGUAAAUUUGUAACGUCCUUUUCUCAGACGGAUUUACGAUUGUGUGUCUUUCCCACUUGCAGUUACUUCAGUUUCACAAGUGUUUAUCCUUCAUAA